RNAcentral lists this ribosomal RNA (244 nucleotides) under uncultured bacterium. RNAcentral's name for it is "partial 16S ribosomal RNA". It matches the Rfam family "Bacterial small subunit ribosomal RNA", at positions 1257 to 1500 of the family's 1533-position model. The record is from RNAcentral.
GUGAUGUGGAGCAAAACACAAAAAGACAGUCUCAGUUCAGAUUGUAGGCUGAAACUCGCCUAUAUGAAGUCGGAAUUGCUAGUAAUCGCAGAUCAGAAUGCUGCGGUGAAUGCGUUCCCGGGUCUUGUACACACCGCCCGUCACACCAUGGGAGUUGGUAACGCCCGAAGUCAGUGACCUAACCAUUUGGGAGGAGCUGCCGAAGGUGGGACCAGUGACUGGGGUGAAGUCGUAACAAGGUAGC